UGGUCACCGGAGCCCACGCUGACCAGCCCAGACUGGACGGGGACGUGGCUGUGACGUACGCAGUGGUAGGAAAAGGCAGCUCUCGAGGGCGGGACACCCGGACGGCUCCGUAGCACUGGGAUUCCCAGUGCCCCACAAGCCUGCGUGAGCCCCACACUCACUGCCAGCCUAAGCAGAGCCCCAGGAAGGAGACGGUGAUGGAGCCUGUUUACCAGCCAGCAAGAACCAACGUUUGGGUCAAUCGAUGACACAGGGAAA
This is a long non-coding RNA of Mauremys mutica (yellowpond turtle), 258 nucleotides long. RefSeq lists it as uncharacterized. The transcript is spliced from 3 exons. The record is from RefSeq and is a predicted model, not a curated record. Lineage: Eukaryota; Metazoa; Chordata; Testudines; Geoemydidae.